This 244-nucleotide long non-coding RNA is filed under the name Mytilus galloprovincialis (Mediterranean mussel). The record is from RNAcentral. Lineage: Eukaryota; Metazoa; Mollusca; Bivalvia; Mytilida; Mytilidae.
AAAAUUCACACACCUAAUUAAAUGGGCAUUUAAAAAGUCAGAAUGUGAAUAUAUAUGUUCAAACUCUUUUAGGUCAUUUUUUAGUGGCAAUAAACAAAAAAACUAUGUCAAUUGGACAUGCUUUGAUACUAUAUAUGCCCUUGAAUUUUUACUAGAUAACAUUUUUGUUUGCUUUGGGGAUUCCGUAUAUCGUCAGAUUAUCGGAAUUCCAAUGGGGACUAACUGUGCACCACUUAUUGCGGAC